UUUGACUCGGUCUGCUUCUUUUCUGGUGGUUCUGUUGUUGGUACGCGUAGAAAUAUCCUGAUUAAGCGGCCCAGCCUAAGCGGUGCUACCGUUCAAAUAGAGGCAGCUAGAUCCAUCUUCUCUCCACGUUCCCAGUCAACAUCUCCACCCCCACGGACGCAACAAGGAAAAAAUCCCCAACCCACACCCUCAGCCCAACCAACUCAAAACUGAGUGGAGAAAUAGGGGAAGGAUUGGGCGGACCGCACGGCGCGGCGGACGUCCGCCGGACCGCGAGAUGGAGGAUGCGUUCGACGCCUACUUCCGCCAGUGAAUCUCGACCGCAACGGUCGAAUCAGCGGCCAGGUCUGGCUCUGCUUUUCGCCUAGAUCGGCGGCGUCCUGGACGGUGCCGGCAACAUCCCCCGCCAUGGCCAUGUGCCCGAGCACAGACUUGAGCCUCACGGGCAGCCCUAAGCCACCUCUAGCUCCAGAAUCCAUUUUCCUGGCCGUCGUACGGCGCCACCGCCGUUCGUCAUCUCCGGAACUCCAGCAGCUCCCUAGCUUUUCCAGCUGUACAUCCAGUAAUACUGAAGUACAUUAUGUAUUAUGCUGGUAAAUUUUGGAGCUGAGAUGUAUUUUUUGAUUUUUUUACAUCCAGAAUAAUGACAGUGGUUGAUGUAUUUUGUUUCCUUUUUCUACAUCCAGUAUCUCUCUUUUUUUCCUUUUUCUACAUCUAAGAUUUUGAAAAUAGUAUGUUUCCUAGAUAUGGAUGUAAUUAUAGUUGGUUCUCCCAAGAUUUAGAUGUAUUUUUUUAUUUUUUUACAUCCAUCCCUACUAUAGAUUUUUUACAGAAAAAUAAGAUGGUGGAUACGCACUUUACUUUUUCGUCUUUUUUGUCUGAAUUUUGUAAUUCACGGAUGCGGAUGUAUUUUUUCUCCACGGAAAAAAGAAGGAUGCGGGAGACUUGCAGUCGAACAUGGGAAAGAGAAGGCGCGGUGGAGCGGAGUAGUUCCUAUUUUUGGACAAUGCUGGCUGUCAGGCUGCAUUUUUUCUAUAUUUGCGUGGGGCACUCCCUGUUGUAUUUAGUUGCCUUUAUAAUGGUUGUUCAAUGUAUUCAUACAUUAUGAUAUAUCUCACCAUUUUGCUCAUAAUUUGUUGUUUUGUUGUUCUCUCUAGGUGAUUCUGCCACGGGUGACUCUGCUGAGCAAUCAUGGACUUUCUCGGUGGCUCUGCUUAUCCUCCUUUUGCAGAGUGCUCUUCUUCAGGUUCAACUUCACAGUCACUUGGCCCGUGACAUGUUGAAUGAGCGGUAUUUUGGGCUUCUUUACUUGUGAGUGCCAACAUCGGUAAGGAAACUAAAGCCAGCCAAAGGAUUAGCAAAUUUUGUUGCCUAACUGCCAAAUAGCUACCAGAGACAUAGAAGAGGUUCCAAUCACUUAGCCCUUGACAUAUAAAAUGAGCGAUAUUUUGAGGUUCUUUAUUUGUGAGUGUAGCAUCAGAGCUAAAGAAUCAGCUAAACAGCUACCUGCGACAUUGGAGAGGUUAGUAGUAGGUCUGCUUUAAAAAAUUCCAUACUGGUGAACUAGAGGUUAGCAAGAUCAUGUCAUUUCCAUGCCAGCAGUUAUCUGGUAUGUAUGUUUUAAGAGAAGUGAACCCGAGGUUCGUUGCAGUUUUAGUAUGCCAUGCUAUAACAGUAUGCUAUUCUAUUCUUCAGGCUAUAGGGCAAGUUCAAAGGUGCAACAAAUCCGAGCUUUACCCCGAAUUGGAAUCUUGCUAUCUUGCUAUCUCUUACCCGGUGGUCCUGAAGUAUUCCUGUGGCAUUGUACAUAGUACCAACAUUGAGCUAGGUUGAGUAUUUGGUUUUGGUUCUCAGUUUGUGUACGUGCAAACAGCUGUGGAAUAAUAUUCAGCUUCUGUACUCAUAAUGCACUCUGCCCGUUGCUGCUUAUAUGUUUCUUUCCAUUGAA
Lolium perenne is the source of this 1948-nucleotide non-coding RNA. NCBI's taxonomy places the organism in Eukaryota, Viridiplantae, Streptophyta, Magnoliopsida, Poales, Poaceae. The record is from RefSeq and is a predicted model, not a curated record.